GGCGCUGUGGCUCAAGUGGUAGAGCGUCAGCCUUGAGCUGAAGAGCCUGAGGGACAGCGCCC
This 62-nucleotide transfer RNA is filed under the name Dipodomys ordii (Ord's kangaroo rat). The record is from Rfam by way of RNAcentral. Lineage: Eukaryota; Metazoa; Chordata; Mammalia; Rodentia; Heteromyidae.